UACGGAAGGCAGCAGUGGGGAAUUUUGGACAAUGGGCGAAAGCCUGAUCCAGCCAUGCCGCGUGCAGGAUGAAGGCCUUCGGGUUGUAAACUGCUUUUGUACGGAACGAAAAGACUCCUUCUAAUAAAGGGGUCCAUGACGGUACCGUAAGAAUAAGCACCGGCUAACUACGUGCCAGCAGCCGCGGUAAUACGUAGGGUGCAAGCGUUAAUCGGAAUUACUGGGCGUAAAGCGUGCGCAGGCGGUUAUAUAAGACAGAUGUGAAAUCCCCGGGCUCAACCUGGGAACUGCAUUUUGUGACUGUAUAGCUAGAGUACGGUAGAGGGGGAUGGAAUUCCGCGUGUAGCAGUGAAAUGCGUAGAUAUGCGGAGGAACACCGAUGGCGAAGGCAAUCCCCUGGGACCUGUACUGACGCUCAUGCACGAAAGCGUGGGGAGCAAACAGGAUUAGAUACC
RNAcentral lists this ribosomal RNA (455 nucleotides) under uncultured bacterium. Its description in RNAcentral is "bacterial SSU rRNA". It matches the Rfam family "Bacterial small subunit ribosomal RNA", at positions 340 to 786 of the family's 1533-position model. The record is from RNAcentral.